GCGCAGAUAAAUUUCUCUGAGUGUUAAGAACACUGAAAUGAAGCAAAGGCAAAGAAAGCCGCUGUAAUUUUGAGUUGGCAUCGCUCGGCGUGCAGUCGAUAAAGGAGCAUAGCAAAAAGCAAAAUUUGACGUGUUGGCAGCAUUGAUCUGUCAGGUCAGUUUCCGUGAAAAGCGAGAAAGAAAAGGAGCUUGCAAAAAAGGUGCCAUCGGUCGGAAAGACGCUCGUCGGUCGGAACGAAUUUCCGAGCGUGGGAUUGCUUAACCGACAGGCUCGCUCCGCCGAUUGGUAACCAAAAAACAAACUACCGCGAAGCGGGAAAUUUUGGUUGAUAGGCAACAACCGGGACCGGAAAAGGCCAAGUGACCGCUUUCGGGUGAAAAAACACCCUGCGAUCGCGCAAAAAUUUUGUCGGUGACCCACCACGAGGCGCUCGGAAACUCAAAACCGGGAAC
Molecule: long non-coding RNA, 453 nt
Organism: Uranotaenia lowii
Lineage: Eukaryota; Metazoa; Arthropoda; Insecta; Diptera; Culicidae
Exons: 3
Source: RefSeq, a predicted model, not a curated record